RNAcentral lists this ribosomal RNA (267 nucleotides) under Arachnodes prasinus. RNAcentral's name for it is "partial 28S ribosomal RNA". It matches the Rfam family "Eukaryotic large subunit ribosomal RNA", at positions 688 to 921 of the family's 3401-position model. Lineage: Eukaryota; Metazoa; Arthropoda; Insecta; Coleoptera; Scarabaeidae. The record is from RNAcentral.
GAGUCAUUGGGACUCUGUUAAACCUAAAGGCGCAAUGAAAGUAAAGGUCCGCCUCGCGCGGACCGAGGGAGGAUGGGCCCGUCCACGGGCGGGCCCCGCACUCCCGGGGCGUCUCGUUCUCAACGCGAGUAGAGGCGCACCCAGAGCGUACACGCUGGGACCCGAAAGAUGGUGAACUAUGCCUGGUCAGGACGAAGUCAGGGGAAACCCUGAUGGAGGUCCGUAGCGAUUCUGACGUGCAAAUCGAUCGUCGGAACUGGGUAUAGG